GAGGGUAUAGCUCAAGUGGUAGAGCACAUGCUUAGCAUGCACGAGGUCCUGGGUUCAAUCCCUAAUACCUCCU
RNAcentral lists this transfer RNA (73 nucleotides) under Camelus bactrianus (Bactrian camel). It matches the Rfam family "tRNA". From Rfam's summary of the family: Transfer RNA (tRNA) molecules are approximately 80 nucleotides in length. Their secondary structure includes four short double-helical elements and three loops (D, anti-codon, and T loops). Further hydrogen bonds mediate the characteristic L-shaped molecular structure. tRNAs have two regions of fundamental functional importance: the anti-codon, which is responsible for specific mRNA codon recognition, and the 3' end, to which the tRNAs corresponding amino acid is attached (by aminoacyl-tRNA synthetases). tRNAs cope with the degeneracy of the genetic code in two manners: having more than one tRNA (with a specific anti-codon) for a particular amino acid; and 'wobble' base-pairing, i.e. permitting non-standard base-pairing at the 3rd anti-codon position. RNAcentral also lists the same sequence under 2 other names. The record is from Rfam by way of RNAcentral. Lineage: Eukaryota; Metazoa; Chordata; Mammalia; Artiodactyla; Camelidae.